UACAAUGUCACGGGUGCUGUACUGUUUUA
RNAcentral lists this non-coding RNA (29 nucleotides) under Rattus norvegicus (Norway rat). Lineage: Eukaryota; Metazoa; Chordata; Mammalia; Rodentia; Muridae. The record is from RNAcentral.